GAUGAACGCUAGCGGGAGGCCUAAUACAUGCAAGUCGAACGGUAAGGUCCCUUCGGGGAUACACGAGUGGCGGACGGGUGCGUAACGCGUACGAAACAUACCUUCAACAGGGAGAUACCUCCGGGAAACUGGAAAUAAUACCCCAUAGUAUUGUGACAUCGCAUGAUGUUUACAAUUAAAGACUUUGGUCGGUUGAAGAUUGUCGUGCGUCUGAUUAGCUAGUUGGUGAGGUAACGGCUCACCAAGGCGACGAUCAGUAGCUGGUCUGAGAGGAUGAUCAGCCACACUGGAACUGAGACACGGUCCAGACUCCUACGGGAGGCAGCAGUAGGGAAUAUUGGACAAUGGGCGGAAGCCUGAUCCACGCCAUCCCGCCGUGUAGGAA
RNAcentral lists this ribosomal RNA (385 nucleotides) under uncultured bacterium. RNAcentral describes it as "bacterial SSU rRNA". It matches the Rfam family "Bacterial small subunit ribosomal RNA", at positions 28 to 409 of the family's 1533-position model. The record is from RNAcentral.